UAAACAUGCAGUCGAGCGGUAGCACAGAGAGCUUGCUCUCGGGUGACGAGCGGCGGACGGGUGAGUAAUGUCUGGGAAACUGCCUGAUGGAGGGGGAUAACUACUGGAAACGGUAGCUAAUACCGCAUAACGUCGCAAGACCAAAGUGGGGGACCUUCGGGCCUCAUGCCAUCAGAUGUGCCCAGAUGGGAUUAGCUGGUAGGUGGGGUAACGGCUCACCUAGGCGACGAUCCCUAGCUGGUCUGAGAGGAUGACCAGCCACACUGGAACUGAGACACGGUCCAGACUCCUACGGGAGGCAGCAGUGGGGAAUAUUGCACAAUGGGCGCAAGCCUGAUGCAGCCAUGCCGCGUGUGUGAAGAAGGCCUUCGGGUUGUAAAGCACUUUCAGCGGGGAGGAAGGCGGUGAGGUUAAUAACCUCACCGAUUGACGUUACCCGCAGAAGAAGCACCGGCUAACUCCGUGCCAGCAGCCGCGGUAAUACGGAGGGUGCAAGCGUUAAUCGGAAUUACUGGGCGUAAAGCGCACGCAGGCGGUCUGUCAAGUCGGAUGUGAAAUCCCCGGGCUCAACCUGGGAACUGCAUUCGAAACUGGCAGGCUAGAGUCUUGUAGAGGGGGGUAGAAUUCCAGGUGUAGCGGUGAAAUGCGUAGAGAUCUGGAGGAAUACCGGUGGCGAAGGCGGCCCCCUGGACAAAGACUGACGCUCAGGUGCGAAAGCGUGGGGAGCAAACAGGAUUAGAUACCCUGGUAGUCCACGCUGUAAACGAUGUCGAUUUGGAGGUUGUGCCCUUGAGGCGUGGCUUCCGGAGCUAACGCGUUAAAUCGACCGCCUGGGGAGUACGGCCGCAAGGUUAAAACUCAAAUGAAUUGACGGGGGCCCGCACAAGCGGUGGAGCAUGUGGUUUAAUUCGAUGCAACGCGAAGAACCUUACCUGGUCUUGACAUCCACAGAACUUUCCAGAGAUGGAUUGGUGCCUUCGGGAACUGUGAGACAGGUGCUGCAUGGCUGUCGUCAGCUCGUGUUGUGAAAUGUUGGGUUAAGUCCCGCAACGAGCGCAACCCUUAUCCUUUGUUGCCAGCGGUUAGGCCGGGAACUCAAAGGAGACUGCCAGUGAUAAACUGGAGGAAGGUGGGGAUGACGUCAAGUCAUCAUGGCCCUUACGACCAGGGCUACACACGUGCUACAAUGGCAUAUACAAAGAGAAGCGACCUCGCGAGAGCAAGCGGACCUCAUAAAGUAUGUCGUAGUCCGGAUUGGAGUCUGCAACUCGACUCCAUGAAGUCGGAAUCGCUAGUAAUCGUAGAUCAGAAUGCUACGGUGAAUACGUUCCCGGGCCUUGUACACACCGCCCGUCACACCAUGGGAGUGGGUUGCAAAAGAAGUAGGUAGCUUAACCUUCGGGAGGGCGCUUACCACUUUGUGAUUCAUGACUGGGGUGA
RNAcentral lists this ribosomal RNA (1440 nucleotides) under Klebsiella sp. H1(2014). Its description in RNAcentral is "bacterial SSU rRNA". It matches the Rfam family "Bacterial small subunit ribosomal RNA". The record is from RNAcentral. Lineage: Bacteria; Pseudomonadati; Pseudomonadota; Gammaproteobacteria; Enterobacterales; Enterobacteriaceae.